This 818-nucleotide small RNA is filed under the name Pongo abelii (Sumatran orangutan). RNAcentral describes it as "retained intron". The record is from RNAcentral. Lineage: Eukaryota; Metazoa; Chordata; Mammalia; Primates; Hominidae.
CCUGACUGCUCACUGCAGAUACCUCUGUGCCUGCCCCUCCCAGCCUUCCCAUCCCUGCCCUUGGCCCCUGCAGGCUCCUGCUUCUGAACCAGUUCCAUGAUGUGGUGACUGGAAGCUGCAUCCAGAUGGUGGCAGAGGAAGCCAUGUGCCACUAUGAAGACAUCCGUUCCCAUGGCAAUACACUGCUCAGCGCCGCAGCCGCAGCCCUGUGUGCUGGGGAGCCAGGUCCUGAGGGCCUCCUCAUCGUCAACACGCUGCCCUGGAAGCGGACCGAAGUGAUGGCCCUGCCCAAACCAGGCGGGGCCCACAGCCUAGGUAUGAGCUGAGGGGAAGGGUUGCUACUGCAGCAGGAAGGAUGGAGGCCAGACAGAUCAGGCCUGGGAUACCCCUAGGGAUCUGGGUGCCCUUGAAUGGAGAGUAGUAGCACAUCUUCCACCACCCCAUCCCCACCUGCGCAAGCUUCCUGAAAGGUCAGGAAGGCUGCACUGAUGCCCAGGCCUCACCCCCAGCCCUGGUGACAGUGCCCAGCAUGGGCUAUGCUCCUGUUCCUCCCCCGACCUCGCUGCAGCCCCUGCUGCCCCAGCAGCCUGUGUUCGUAGUGCAAGAGGUGAGUCCUGCAUGUCCUGGGGGGCAGGAGCUGUGCUGGGAUACUUUCUAACAACUGAGGGUCCUGAGCACCCCUGCCUGGAGCAAGUGGUGAGGCGGGGCUGGGGUUGGGGUGGGAAGACUUUUGGUGUGGGAAGCCCCUACAGACUCAGCCUCAAGGCCUCCUCCCACAAAGACUGACGGCUCCGUGACUCUGGACAAUGGCAUCAUCC